GGCCUGAUGGUCUAGUAGUAUGAUUCCUUGUUAGGGGUUCACAUUGUGUGAUUCACGUCGAGGAGGUCCCGGGUUCAAUUCCCGGUUAGGCCC
Mycena haematopus is the source of this 93-nucleotide non-coding RNA. NCBI's taxonomy places the organism in Eukaryota, Fungi, Basidiomycota, Agaricomycetes, Agaricales, Mycenaceae. The record is from the annotation of a GenBank genome assembly.